This 459-nucleotide ribosomal RNA is filed under the name uncultured bacterium. RNAcentral describes it as "partial 16S ribosomal RNA". It matches the Rfam family "Bacterial small subunit ribosomal RNA", at positions 338 to 795 of the family's 1533-position model. The record is from RNAcentral.
CCUACGGGCGGCUGCAGUGAGGAAUAUUGGUCAAUGGGCGAGAGCCUGAACCAGCCAAGUCGCGUGAGGGAAGACGGGCCUAUGGAUUGUAAACCUCUUUUGCCGGGGAGCAAAAAGCGGUACGUGUACCGCAUCGAGAGUACCCGGAGAAAAAGCAUCGGCAAACUCCGUGCCAGCAGCCGCGGUAAUCCGGGGGAUGCGAGCGUGAUCCGGAUUUAUGGGGUUAAAAGGGUGCGCGGGCGGCGAGUAAAGUCAGCGGUAAACUUUCGGGGCUCAACCCCGACAAGCCGUUGAAACUGGCUGGCUAGAGUGGGCGAGAAGUAUGCGGAAUGCGUGGUGUAGCGGUGAAAUGCAUAGAUAUCACGCAGAACUCCGAUGGCGAAGGCAGCAUACCGGCGCCCAACUGACGCUCAGGCACGAAAGCGUGGGUAUCGAACAGGAUUAGAUACCCGGGUAGUC